AUUGAACGCUGGCGGCAGGCCUAACACAUGCAAGUCGAGCGGAUGAAGGGAGCUUGCUCCUGGAUUCAGCGGCGGACGGGUGAGUAAUGCCUAGGAAUCUGCCUGGUAGUGGGGGAUAACGUCCGGAAACGGGCGCUAAUACCGCAUACGUCCUGAGGGAGAACGUGGGGGAUCUUCGGACCUCACGCUAUCAGAUGAGCCUAGGUCGGAUUAGCUAGUUGGGGGGGUAAAGGCCUACCAAGGCGACGAUCCGUAACUGGUCUGGGAGGAGGAUUAGUCAAACUGGAAAUGAGACCAGGGCCCGACUCCUCAGGGAGGGAGCAGUGGGGAAUAUUGGACAAAGGGGGGAAGCCUGAUCCAACCAUACCGGGUGGGUGAAAAAGGGUUUUGGGUUUGAAAGCCAUUUUAUUUGGGAAGAAAGGGAAGAAGGUUAAAACCUGCUUUUUUGAAGGUAACCAAAAAAAAAGGAACGGCUAACUUCGUG
Molecule: ribosomal RNA, 484 nt
Filed under: uncultured bacterium
Lineage: Bacteria
Description: partial 16S ribosomal RNA
Rfam family: Bacterial small subunit ribosomal RNA
Source: RNAcentral